Molecule: small nuclear RNA, 191 nt
Organism: Loxodonta africana (African savanna elephant)
Lineage: Eukaryota; Metazoa; Chordata; Mammalia; Proboscidea; Elephantidae
Gene: U2
Rfam family: U2 spliceosomal RNA
About the family: U2 is a small nuclear RNA (snRNA) component of the spliceosome (involved in pre-mRNA splicing). Complementary binding between U2 snRNA (in an area lying towards the 5' end but 3' to hairpin I) and the branchpoint sequence (BPS) of the intron results the bulging out of an unpaired adenosine, on the BPS, which initiates a nucleophilic attack at the intronic 5' splice site, thus starting the first of two transesterification reactions that mediate splicing.
Source: Ensembl
AACCCUCCUUGGUCUUUUGGCUAAGAUCAAGUGCAAUAUCUGUUCAUAUCAGUGUAAUAUCUCAUAAAUCUUGUAUCUGAGGACAAUACAUUAAAUGGAUUUUUGGAGCAUGGAAAUGGAAAAGGGGCUUGCUUCAUCCACUCGAUGCAUCGAUCUGGUAUUGCAGUACCUCCACGAAUGGUGCACCCCCU